AUCAACACUUUCUUCCUUCUUCCAUGAAAAAGACAGCAAAGACCAGGAUCAAACUGUUCAGUUGCACCCAGCAGUCCCAGUCUUCAUCACUGACUGUCAUUACCUGGCAGCAGAAAAGAAGGAGGCUCAUUUGGAUAUUGUAGGUGGCUGCCCCUGUGAACCAAAGACCACAGAGUGUCAGAACAUCUCAUUGGAGCGGUGGUCCUCAGCACCUUCUGCUGCCAUUCUCCUUUCUGGGCUGGGUUUCACUGCAACCUGCAGCUCCCAGGAUGUGCGUGGACAGAGAGGCUGUGUGCUAGGCUAGAAGAGAAUUGUGCUUUCAGGACCUUCUGAAUUCCAGCACAAAACCCUAGGCUGCAAAACAACAGAAACAAAGAAAGGUAAGAGGAACCUUAAGGGAUGAAAACUGGAGCCCUCUAGAAGCCCUCUGUAGACCUCUAGUUGCAUAAUCUGAAAGCUAUCUUUGCAGCUCCAUAACAUCUGUCCAGAGCUCUGAAGUUCAGAAACUUAUUUUGACACCUGAAAAGUUCAUUUGCAGAAUUGCUGAGCUGGAUGUGCGGCUGGUUGUCAUCCGUCUCUCCUCAUUGAUUUUGAUUGCGAUGCUGAUUUACAGCUCUGGUGACUUGAGCCUGGGGAGUGCUGUGUGUGCGGCCAUCGAAACCAGGGGCUGCUCAAUGCACGUGGCUCAUGCUGCUUUCAUUUAUCAGUAAAGUGGCCUAAUUGGGUUGGGACUGUUCAGAUGAGUGUGUUUGUUUCCAGGAGCGAACAGGGUUUUGCUUUGUGUUUUUAAUUUAAUUACACCCGCAUUAGCGGUUUGCUGGCCUUAAUGACAUUUAGUAAAUUACAGAGUCUCUGCUGAAAUGCUGGAAGCUGGGUGUAUGUCAGUCCCACCUGAGUAAAACGCAGGGUGGUUUUUUCUUUUUUCAGUUAAAAUGUUCAGAAAACACGUUCAGCCUGUAAUGAGCUGCUACGUGGAUCCAUGGAAAUCACUGCUCACUUGUGU
This 1003-nucleotide long non-coding RNA is filed under the name Coturnix japonica (Japanese quail). RNAcentral describes it as "lncRNA (ENSCJPG00005014011.1)". Lineage: Eukaryota; Metazoa; Chordata; Aves; Galliformes; Phasianidae. The record is from RNAcentral.